Molecule: ribosomal RNA, 176 nt
Filed under: uncultured bacterium
Lineage: Bacteria
Description: partial 16S ribosomal RNA
Rfam family: Bacterial small subunit ribosomal RNA
Source: RNAcentral
GCUGGAAUCGCUAGUAAUCGCGAAUCAGAAUGUCGCGGUGAAUACGUUCCCGGGUCUUGUACACACCGCCCGUCACACCAUGGGAGUCGGAAAUGCCCGAAGUCAGUGACCUAACCGAAAGGGAGGAGCUGCCGAAGGUGGAGCCGGUAACUGGGGUGAAGUCGUAACAAGGUAAC